Molecule: non-coding RNA, 2553 nt
Organism: Camelina sativa (false flax)
Lineage: Eukaryota; Viridiplantae; Streptophyta; Magnoliopsida; Brassicales; Brassicaceae
Source: RefSeq, a predicted model, not a curated record
AAAAGCUGUCAAAACAAAAAUAUAUGUAGUGGAAAAAUCUAUCUUAAAUAAUAAAAUCUGAUAUUUUAUGAGUUAUUUAGGUAAUAAAACCCAUAAUUUGGGAUCAAUCUAGCUUUUUUCCCUAGUUUUAAUGGAAAAUAACAUAAACUGUGUAGAAACUUGGAAGGACAAGUUAACCACCUAGGGAGAAACUACUGCGAAUACCUUCUCCAAGAUUGGUUAAUUGAUAAGUUAUAAGAUGAAAAAAAGGUUGAAGCUCCCGCGCGUGACCGCACGCGCGUCUCCCUUCUCUCUCCUCUUCUACGACACAAGGUUUUCAUUGGCCGCCGGGGAGGGCUCCCCCUUUGUCUGCUUAUCGUCUUUUUCUUAUCUUUCCGUUGAGUUAAGGUCGGAUCUGAGUUCUCCUCUUCUUCUGGGACUCUGGUUGGUGGUUGGCCGGAGGUUCAAGAUCGUGCUGUGGCAAAGACAACCUCGACUUGUGGUGGGGUUGCUCUGACUUUGUUUCUCGAGGCUGGAUUCUUCGUCGGAGGUAUUCGUUGGUGUUGGAGUGGCGUUUACUCUGUGUGGCGGUUUGAUUCCGGUGGCCUCGGGUUCAGAUCUGGUCCCCUUCGAAGUAGUGGUGAGUUCUCUGUCCUCCUCGUCUCUUCGGUUAGGUUUGUGGUUUGAGCUUAAGUGGAAGGUGGUGGGACAAUCGAGGAGGAGACUAGUCGAGCUAUCCUCUCCGGCGGUACUGAGGCGGGGCGGAGCCGUGGCCGAAACGGGUGUAGUCCGGCUGGGAUCGAGGUCGGUGCCGAGCCAAGUCCCUCUUGGAAGUGGGCAAUAGAGGGAGUUAAUUGGGAGUAGGCGACUAGCGAGCUGCCGUGCAUCUUAAUCGGUUUGGCUUCCGCGGCGGAAGUCGCCUCAUGUUUCGGAGGGUUGUGCCGCGUGUGUAAGGAGGGGAGUUUGUCGUGUUCAUGUUCCACGGCGCUCUAGACUUCGGGCGGUGCUGUUGGGAGAUUUGUUCUCCUUGCCGUUGUCUCCCUCCUUCACCGGAUUGAGGAUAGCUUAGACGCCGGUGAUUGGAAGUUCCCGAUGACGGGAUGAAACCUGGCGGAGUUUGAAGAAUUCUCCUUCUAGGGGGUUUCAUCUUUAGUCGUGUAGGUUGUACCAGUUAACCGGGUUUGGCUGAUUCCGAAAUUGUAUUCCACCCCUUUAUUCCCGGUUCGGGUUGAUGAAAAAAAAAAAGUUUUAAGAUAAUGAAGUGGAUUUAAUUCGUUAAGAGUUAAACUUAAUACACUGUAUGGUCUUCGCAUAGGCGCAUAUACAGUAUAUAGCGUCUCCUUUUAUACGUUAAGGGUCAUUUACCUUUUUACCCCUUAACUGAAAAAGUGAGUCACAUGUAUAAAACAAACGAAACGAGUGAAGAAAAAAAAAAAAAGAUUUGUGUUUCCUUCGUCUUCUUGCUCUAUUUUUGAUCUGAAAGUAUUAAGUCGCAUUCAAUCUUGUCUCGCCAACGAUGGAGAAUGAUCUCGUUGGUCAAUUUUGUAAGGAAACCGGAGCAAAUAGGAUCACCGCACUCAUGUACCUACGGAAGCAAUUUAGAUGAAGCUAAAGAUGCUUUCUUCUCGGGAAUCACAACAAAGAUUGUGCGUACAGAUCCACCGCAUCGGGCACGCUUGGUGAGCCAACUUGAUCUGCUCGUUCAUUCAUUUCAAACGAUGGCGGCUGGUGAAGUAAGUAAAGAAGAGGCGACGGCUUAUCUUGAUUGAAUGUAGUUGGGAUUUGAAGAGAGCAGUAGCGAAUUUCAAGAAAUAUCACGGUGGUCUCAAGCCAAAACCGCUACAUCUCUGUCACAGUCCGAAGCACUCGUAUGUUGGGACCUUAGCGGAGGAGGAAAGACUCGGAGAUUCUCUUCCUUCACAAUCCCAGUCUUCUUCUUCGGAUUACGGAGGAGGAGGAGAAGAUUCCUUGUACGAAGACCAAAGGAGCUCUUCCAUUGGUGACAACGCUGAGCUACUGGCCAAUGCGAGGUUUACAGAAAAAGAUGCCCUUGAUGACAUGAUCCCUUUACCUAUUCCUCAAAUGUCUUCUCAAGAAAAGUUGCCUAGUCUUGGUAGUCUUGAUCAAUGCUAUUGGAAUGUGGACCAUCCCAAGAAGAAGUCGAAAUUGCUGACGAGUAUGCAGUCAGAUGAUGAGAAAACACCCACGGCUUCUCUUCCACUGAUGGGAUUACCUGUAGCUACUCCUCAAAUUCAAAUGACACCGACGUCUCAAGAGAAGGAAAAAUUGGAGGGUAAGGCUGUUGUUGAUCAAGGUACAACUAUAGAGACAUCCCUUGCUUCUCUGGUCUGCAAAGACAGGAUUGUGGACCCUAAAGCUGCACACAAAGAGUAAAGAUUGGUUCAUAAAAACUGCUAGUGAGUACAUCUUAGCAAACUGCUAGUGAGUACAUAUUAAAGAUCGGUUCAAGAAUUUGUUUCUAUCCUUUUUGAUAUUAGCAAAUUUGUUCUUCCUUUCGUUACACUCAACUGUAAUUCAUUCCCAUUUCAUUUCAUACAAGUAGCAAAUACCUUA